This 433-nucleotide ribosomal RNA is filed under the name uncultured bacterium. RNAcentral describes it as "partial 16S ribosomal RNA". It matches the Rfam family "Bacterial small subunit ribosomal RNA", at positions 29 to 507 of the family's 1533-position model. The record is from RNAcentral.
AGCGAACGCUGGCGGCAGGCCUAACACAUGCAAGUCGAACGGAUCCUUCGGGAUUAGUGGCGGACGGGUGGGUAACACGUGGGAACGUGCCCUUUGGUUCGGAACAACCCAGGGAAAUUUGAGCUAAUACCGGAUGUGCCCUUCGGGGGAAAGAUCUAUCGCCAUUGGAGCGGCCCGCGUCUGAUUAGCUAGUUGGUGAGGUAACGGCCCACCAAGGCGACGAUCCGUAGCUGGUCUGAGAGGAUGAUCAGCCACACUGGGACUGAGACACGGCCCAGACUCCUACGGGAGGCAGCAGUGAGGAAUCUUGCGCAAUGGGCGAAAGCCUGACGCAGCCAGGCCGCGUGAAUGAUGAAGGUCUUAGGAUUGUAAAAUUCUUUCAGCGGGGACGAUAAUGACGGUACCCGCAGAAGAAGCUCCGGCUAACUUCGUG